GGCUUUACUUCAAUCCUUGGGAUAUGCCCAGUCGGUUCCUUGGCUUGUGAUUGAGGAUUUCAAUGAGAUUACAAGUUCUUUUGAAAAGAGGGGGCCGACUUCGGUUUGAACAACAAAUGACUGCUUUUAGGACUGUUUUGGAGGAUUGUUCUCUUUAUGAUUUGGGUUUUACUGGUCGGUGGUUCACAUGGGAAAGGGGACGUUCCUUAUCUACCAACAUUCGGGAAAGACUUGAUAAGGGUGUUGCAAAUUUGGAUUGGACGAACCUUUUUCCAGGAUAUUCGAUAGAGCAUUUGAGCCAUUAGAUAUCAGAUCACUACCCCAUCCUACUGGACACUAUUGGAAAGUUGCAGCUUGGGAGCAAUUCUGCGUCUAGACUUUUUCGGUUCGAAGCUAAGUGGUGCUUGGACUAGUCUUUUGAAGAGAUUGUUCGACAGGCUUGGGCUGUUCAUUAUAUUAGCCUCCCGUCUAAAUUGACAGCUGUGGGCUAACAUUUUCAAAAGUGGAGUCGGUCAAAUGCCCAUAAGCAAAGAUAUCAUCGGUUACAUCUGGAAAGAAAGCUGGCUGAUCUCAUUAAUCAGGAUCCAUCCGACGCGGUCCUGAUUGAAAUUAUGGAGGUGUAAAUUGGUUUGAAUCUUGAGGCAGAUAAAGAGGAGGUAUUCUGGGAGCAACGUACCCGUGCUAACUGGUUGCAAAAUGAUGAUGGAAUACGAGCUUUUUCCACAAAGUUGCUGUGACUCGUCAUAGUCAUAGUCGGAUUCUUGGUUUGGAAAAUGAGUCUGGUCAGUGGGUUUCUAAUCUUGAGGAAAUGAUGAAGGUUGCUUUGAAGCAUUUUGGAGGUCUUUUUACGGCUUCUAAAUCGAGGGGUGAUGACAGAGUGUUUGGCCUUGUUGAGCAAAAGAUCACACCAAACAUGAAUGCAGAUCUGCUAAAGCCUUUUACAAAAGACGAAAUCUGGUUUGCAAUAAAAUCGAUGGCACCUUUGAAGGCUUCAAGGGUUGAUGGUUUUCCAGCCCUGUUUUAUUAACGAUA
Molecule: long non-coding RNA, 1032 nt
Filed under: Gossypium barbadense (sea-island cotton)
Lineage: Eukaryota; Viridiplantae; Streptophyta; Magnoliopsida; Malvales; Malvaceae
Description: long non-coding RNA (GBAR_LNC007660)
Source: RNAcentral